GUCUCGGGAUUGUCAGUACUCAAUCAAAUCGCAAGCGAGAUAUAUACUUAUAUACAACUGUAAAACGAGAAAAAAAAUCUUAAAAUCUCUCUAAACGUUUGAAAAACAGUGAAGUUAUUUCCACGAAUAUUAUUUGGUCUUUAUUGACCGUUUUCGGCUAUUCUAGUACUCUUACAAACCCUUUACAAAAUGUGCGGACCGUGUGGUGGAUGCUGCGGCGGUGGCUGCUGCGGUGGCUGCUGUUGCCCCUGCAUCACUAUCUACACCUGCUGCACCAAGAUUUGCUAGUGGCACGAGUGGCGCCGGACUUCGCAGGCAAGCCAUGGUGCUGGCGAUGGACCGGCGCGCAUCGAUGCCUUUCAUGUUUUGUCUUUUUCGAAGUAUACUCCGUGCAGUUAUGUGGAAAUAAACUAUUAUAAGUAAGCUA
Trichoplusia ni (cabbage looper) is the source of this 427-nucleotide long non-coding RNA. RefSeq lists it as uncharacterized. NCBI's taxonomy places the organism in Eukaryota, Metazoa, Arthropoda, Insecta, Lepidoptera, Noctuidae. The transcript has 2 exons. The record is from RefSeq and is a predicted model, not a curated record.